This 1204-nucleotide small RNA is filed under the name Drosophila pseudoobscura pseudoobscura. Its description in RNAcentral is "GA30974". Lineage: Eukaryota; Metazoa; Arthropoda; Insecta; Diptera; Drosophilidae. The record is from RNAcentral.
AACUUUCAAAUAUUCAGCAAAAAUAUCAAAUGGAAUGAAUUAAACAAACUGUGCAAAUCUCACCUGUGGUUAGGAUGCUGCUUCUCCUGUCUGUUGCUAUUGCAGAUGUUACACCAACAACAUGAGUAUCUAACAAACUGGAAGGCUAUUGAUACCCAGGAUACCCUGGCAAUAAUUUGGCAGGACUCCAAUAACACAAACACAAAAUAUUCAAUUCUAUCUUUUAUGAUUAUUCGACUGAUAUCUAGUACCUAGAUACAAGAUACUGAAAUAUAGACCUCCACAUAUUCUGUUAAGCCUCGUACUCACCGUGUACUUGGUACAAAGAAACCAAAAUUGGACGUAUGAGUGAAAGAAAAGUGUUGCGGACAAUCGCAAACAACCGCAAUGGACAGGAGAAAGCAGCCCCUGACAGAAACGAAAACCAAACUGCUCAGACACUGUGUCAACAAUGUCUGACGAAUUGUCAGGAACCGCAAAAUGGUGUUGUUGCUAAUGUUGCUGCCCAGGCCGGGAGCCGGGUGUCGGGUCCAUGCCAGAUGACAAUGUCAACGAGGAGGUACUACGGUGGAUAGACAGGAUGCCAGUGGGAGCAUACAGGACGAACGGAACAUUCCCGAACAGAAAAGAAUAUAACAGGACGGAACGGAGAAACGGAACCCAGCAACAGGAUAGUGUGUGGACAAUUUUGUACGCCAUUCACGAUACAACAUAGGAGCAGGAGGUGGCUAUUCGUACAGAUGGAAAUGGAGAUGGAGAUGGAUGGAUGUGUCCCUUACAUUCUGUGGGUUUUUCUAUGGGAAAUUUGUCAGCGAGCUUAAGGUGGCCACAGCGAAACACUUGACGAUAUUCACACCACACUCAGCAACACACAUGUGCGCUCCGCUUGUGGGUUUUUGCAAUUCAUGAACUGAUGGGAAUGGGAACUAUAAUCGUAGUAGAACUGAACUCCUCAUCAAAGGGACGGGAUUCUAUCUCACUUUGAUACAUCUUUCUGUUUCGGGGAUUAGGUCAUACAUCUGUACGAGUAGAUGUAUAUGUGAGUCAGUCAAAGCUGGUAUCCAAAUUAUUCUGUUAUUCGACUAUUUAUAGAAGAUGCGUACACACACACAUAAAAUCCUUUAUGAAUAAUGCAAUUUGCGGUCAUAUAAGUGCAUAUGUAUAAAUUCAUACAUAAGUGCUUCUGUACAUAAAGGAUCUUUUA